UGGGUUUAAUAUUUUGAUUUUUAUAUAUUUAUUGGACUAAAAGAGUUAUAGAGUAGUAAUUAAUUUUGUUAUAUCCAUAAAUGGUGGGAUACAGCAAUAAUUUUAACUUUAACAAAUAUCUGUGCCAGCAGUUGCGGUUAUACAGAAAAGGUUACUUAAUUUUUGUGGUUUAUAGUUAAUUUUAUUUAUUAAUUAAUUUAAAAUUUAUAUAGAAGGGUGAAAUUUUUAUCUAAAAUAAUUAUUUAUUCGAUGAAAUGAUCUGUUAAAAUUUUAUUUUUAAACCAGGAUUAGAUACCCUGUUAUUUAAAUUCUAUCAAAAUUACCGGAUUAUUAUUAGUUAAGUUCUUGAAAGUUAAAUGUCUUGGCGGUACCUUAACCUAUCAGAGGAACCUGUCCUAUAAUUGAUAAUUCACAAUUUAUUCUACUUUUAAAAUUGCUUGUAUAUCGUUGUUGUUAGAAAAUUUUUAAAAAAUUUAAAUUUUCUUUAUAUAUGAUUAUAUCUUAGAUCAAAUCAAGGUGCAGCUUUGUAAGAGAAGAGAUGGGUUACUUUAAUAUUAUUUAAAUUAUAAAUUUUUAUAAGUUAGGAUUUGGAAGUAAUUUUAUUAAAAAUAUAAGAUGAAAUGGGCUCUAGGGUAUGUACAUAUCGCCCGUCGCUUUUAUAUUUUAUAUAAAAUAAGUCGUAACAUAGUAGAUUUAUCGGAAGAUGGCUCUAGAAUGAC
Molecule: non-coding RNA, 719 nt
Filed under: Cryptocephalus flavolimbatus
Lineage: Eukaryota; Metazoa; Arthropoda; Insecta; Coleoptera; Chrysomelidae
Source: RNAcentral